RNAcentral lists this ribosomal RNA (121 nucleotides) under Anthonomus grandis grandis. Lineage: Eukaryota; Metazoa; Arthropoda; Insecta; Coleoptera; Curculionidae. The record is from RNAcentral.
GGCAACGGCCAUACCACGCUGAUAUACCGGUUCUCGUCCGAUCACCGAAGUCAAGCAGCGUCGGGCGUGGUUAGUACUUGGAUGGGUGACCGCUUGGGAACACCACGUGCUGCUGUUGUCU